GAGUAAGGCAGGUGUGGCUGUCUUCCCUGGCAGCAUCCCUGUUCUCACCCAGCGCCAGCGUUGGUGAAUUCUCCGAGCUCUUUCCUACCUUCUCCAAGAGGAAAAUCUGCUCCACGGGGAAGUGAGUACUUCACUGAAGAUGCUUGAGGGUAACAUGAAGUUCUUACUGUGAUCAGCCUACAGAAGGAUGAACUUGGGUUUCCUGGGUAACUUCUGGAGUACGAAGACGAGCUCAUCCCACCUUCAUUUGAGUCCAGAAUGAUUUCACAUCAGCAUUGCUCAUUCCCAGCCCAAGUCUGUGCACAUAAUUAUAUUUAGAAACCAAGAGAAUGGGAACAGGUCCCCUAAACCUCUAAGUUUAAGGGGUGAUGUGUUAAUUCCUGGUCUGUGUCUAGGCCUCUUGGAUCAGCUGCCAUAGAGAAUCUAGGGGUGAGGCCAAGCCCAACUUUUUUUCCUGGUUUGGGGCCAGAUACCUAUGGUGUUGCACUCUCUCAAGCUGGAAGGAAAGAUGUAAGCUUGGUAGAUUACAAAAUUGCAUGUGUCAUUAGAAAAAGAUGUCAGAAUGCUUUAUUUAAAACUUUCUGUUUUCUCAGGUUGUACUGCCCAAGUGUAUCUUGGCAUAGACAACUUCAGCUUCAAAAAUUCCAAGAUGUAUAAAGAGUUUCACAUA
Molecule: long non-coding RNA, 670 nt
Organism: Pteropus alecto (black flying fox)
Lineage: Eukaryota; Metazoa; Chordata; Mammalia; Chiroptera; Pteropodidae
Exons: 2
Source: RefSeq, a predicted model, not a curated record